AUGACAUGCACUCCUUUUAUGUCUGCAGCUUCCACUCCAACUUCAGGACAAUUAACACUGCUGGAGGACAGUUGACCAAACACAGAAGUGACAAGUGUUCCCAGAGACCAGGGUGGCUGACGACAGCCAUAAUGCAAAAAUGUGUUGUUGUUUGGGCUAUGGCGCCAUCUUUCGGACAACUUCACGCACUGCAGGCUUUCUGAAUUGCCCUUCUGUUUGGACUGAGCUUUCAACCGGAAUUACAUUUUCCGUUCUGUCUUCGAGACGUCCAUAGCAUUUCUACUGAUAUGGACUCUUCAUUCAUCACAUCCAAGCAAGGCCAUACCUUUCGGAAUGCCAAGUCGGUAAAGGCCCACAGACAAACCAACCUUUGGGUGUGUUCAAAACUUCGGACUUCAGAAAGAGAAGACCGUCCACAGGAUUUUCACCAUGUUUGUUACGUCUGUUUGGCAUCGUGGUGCCGGGUUUGAUUCCCUCGUGGAUCCGUCAACAAGUGAACACAGCAAAGCCUCUCUCCUCCUCUCCAAGCCUCUCGGGACGUCAGCACUAUUAGGUAACAAAUGAUAACCUUGGUUGAGUUUUUUUUUUUUUUUUUUUUUUGCUCCAAUUGCAAGUUAGUGUCCAGGAGCACACAGUCAGUGAUGCUUGUCUUUGACUCUGUGGAUCCUUUUGAGCCUACUUUCAGUCCUUUUUUGUUUAUGUCGUACCAGAAUUAUACCGCAUUUUACAAACUAUAAGCCACUACUUUUUUUUUCCUACGCUUUAAACUGUGCAGCUUAUAAAACGGUGUGACUCAUUUAUGGACGUUUUCUUUCAUAAAGUUUUGUAUUCAACCCCGACAGUGAAAAGAUGUGUUAUUGUUUUUUUCCGUCAUCAGUUUAUGUAAACGCUACACUUCAAGUGCAUAGCAGGUAAAUAAAUACAAGGUUUUUUU
This is a long non-coding RNA of Nerophis ophidion (straightnose pipefish), 934 nucleotides long. RefSeq lists it as uncharacterized. The record is from RefSeq and is a predicted model, not a curated record. The transcript is spliced from 5 exons. Lineage: Eukaryota; Metazoa; Chordata; Actinopteri; Syngnathiformes; Syngnathidae.